UAAUGAGGGUUACGUAUUUCAAUGAAAAUAUAUUGUGUGAAAUGGGAGAGAUGAUCUUGGAUGGAAAUAAGGUUCGAAAUGAAGGAGAUGAUCGUGGAAAUAAGGUUCGUAAUGGACGAGAUGAUAGGGUUUGCAAAAGAAGAGAAGAACGAUGAAGGUUGAGAUGAUAGUGAAGUUUACGUAAUGAAUAGGAAACUGAAGAGGUAACUGUUAUAUAUACGUAACCCUUUUACAGCGCUUUUUAUAAGCCUUUUACAGCGCUUCUUUUGCAAAGCGCUCUAAAAGGCUUCUUUAGUUAAAUUUUUAAAAGGCUCUUUUACAGCGCUUUUCCCAAAAAGCGCUGUAAAAGACCCCCGUGUGUUAUUAUGUUAUAUGAAUGCCUUUUACAGUGCUUUUACACAAAAGCGCUCUAAAAUGUCUCUUUAUGUUAAUUUUAAAAGGCUCUUUUACAGCGCUUUUCCCAAAUAAGCGCUGUAAAAGACAUCCGUGUGUUAUUAUGUUAUAUGAAUGCCUUUUACAUCGCUUUUACACAUAAGCGCUCUAAAAUGUCUCUUUAUGUUAAUUUUAAAAGGCUCUUUUACAGCGCUUUUCCCAAAUAAGCGCUGUAAAAGACAUCCGUGUGUUAUUAUGUUAUAUGAAUGCCUUUUACAUCGCUUUUACACAUAAGCGCUCUAAAAUGUCUCUUUAUGUUAAUUUUAAAAGGCUCUUUUACAGCGCUUUUCCCAAAUAAGCGCUGUAAAAGACCU
RNAcentral lists this long non-coding RNA (746 nucleotides) under Cicer arietinum (chickpea). RNAcentral's name for it is "long non-coding RNA (CARI_LNC003462)". The record is from RNAcentral. Lineage: Eukaryota; Viridiplantae; Streptophyta; Magnoliopsida; Fabales; Fabaceae.